UAAGUUCGAUUGGUCGUCUGGUUUUUGGUGCAUGCUUGAGGAUUGGCGUUAAGCUUGUGAAAGGCAGCUUCCCUCACACGCUGUUGUUUUGUUUUUUUGGGUAGUUGAAGCUUGGUUGCGCGAUUGAAUUUUGAAGGGGCCUGAGAUUUGAUUCUUUCUUUCUUCACUCAUCAAAUUUCAUGUGGGAGUUGGUUGCAAUCACAUUGUGGAGAACCCUAAUGAGAUGACAUUGCUUCUACCACAGGUACAUUUAUAACCUAGCUCUUAAACUUUACAUUGCAUAGGUCCCUUUAUGUGAGGUGGCUAAUUUGUAUUGUCUCUGGUAAUUGUUUUGGUUGAAACCAUUAACCUUUUACAGGAUCUUGAAGCAUUCUAUUGUAUGCCAGUGGUUUAGUGAAACAGAGUAUCUUUUAAAAUCUACAUGAGUUUGGUUUGUCACUGCCAAGUCUGCCAUAAUGUUAAAUUUCUGUUUUUAUUAGUCUUGAAAAGGUUCUAUUCAAGCUAUAUUAGGCAUUGUUAAUCUUGCUACUCGAUAGCUUUAUCUAGUUUCUAUAUGGGUCGUGAAACAAAGAGCAGUUGGGACUUGGCCUGACAUUAGAGAUGCAAUGCACGGCAAGAUAUGGAAGUUCUCAUUACUUUAACUGCU
RNAcentral lists this unclassified non-coding RNA (646 nucleotides) under Hevea brasiliensis (rubber tree). The record is from RNAcentral. Lineage: Eukaryota; Viridiplantae; Streptophyta; Magnoliopsida; Malpighiales; Euphorbiaceae.